Molecule: ribosomal RNA, 428 nt
Filed under: Gemmatimonadota bacterium
Lineage: Bacteria; Pseudomonadati; Gemmatimonadota
Description: Gemmatimonadetes bacterium partial 16S ribosomal RNA
Rfam family: Bacterial small subunit ribosomal RNA
Source: RNAcentral
UAGGGAAUCUUCGGCAAUGGACGAAAGUCUGACCGAGCAACGCCGCGUGAGUGAAGAAGGUUUUCGGAUCGUAAAACUCUGUUGUUAGAGGAGAACAAGGACGUAGUAAAUGAACGUCCCCUGACGGUAUCUAAACAGAAAACCACGGCUAACUACGUUCCAGCAGCCGCGGUAAUACGUAGGUGGCAAGCGUUGUCCGGAUUUAUUGGGCGUAAAGCGAGCGCAGGCGGUUUCUUAAGUCUGAUGUGAAAGCCCCCGGCUCAACCGGGGAGGGUCAUUGGAAACUGGGAGACUUGAGUGCAGAAGAGGAGAGUGGAAUUCCAUGUGUAGCGGUGAAAUGCGUAGAUAUAUGGAGGAACACCAGUGGCGAAGGCGGCUCUCUGGUCUGUAACUGACGCUGAGGCUCGAAAGCGUGGGGAGCAAACAGG